This 271-nucleotide ribosomal RNA is filed under the name Hyalomma impeltatum. Its description in RNAcentral is "partial large subunit ribosomal RNA". Lineage: Eukaryota; Metazoa; Arthropoda; Arachnida; Ixodida; Ixodidae. The record is from RNAcentral.
UAUUUUAACUAUACAAAGGUAUUGUAAUAAGGUUUUAAUUGGAUGCUAAAAGAAUGGAAUUUUAAAAAAAAUCUUUUUUAAAAAUAAAAAUUGAAUUUUUUUUAAUUUGUGCAGAAACAAUUAUUUAUAUUAAGGACAAGAAGACCCUAAGAAUUUAUAAUUAAAUAAAUUAAAAUUUUAAUUUAUUUAAUUUUGAUUGGGGUGAUCGAAAAAUAUUAAUAACUUUUUUGAAUUUAAAUGAUCUAUUAUUAAUAAAUGAAUGAAAUAAAUA